CCUACGGGUGGCAGCAGUGGGGGAUAUUGCACAAUGGGGGGAACCCUGAUGCAGCGACGCCGCGUGGGUGAAGGAGUGCUUCGGCAUGUAAAGCCCUAUCGGCAGGGAAGAAGCAAGACGGUACCUGACUAAGAAGCCCCGGCUAACUACGUGCCAGCAGCCGCGGUAAUACGUAGGUGGCAAGCGUUGUCCGGAUUUACUGGGUGUAAAGGGCGUGCAGCCGGGCUGACAAGUCAGAUGUGAAAUCCCGCGGCUCAACCGCGGAACUGCAUUUGAAACUGUCAGUCUUGAGUACCGGAGAGGUCAUCGGAAUUCCUUGUGUAGCGGUGAAAUGCGUAGAUAUAAGGAAGAACACCAGUGGCGAAGGCGGAUGACUGGACGGCAACUGACGGUGAGGCGCGAAAGCGUGGGGAGCAAACAGGAUUAGAUACCCGUGUAGUC
RNAcentral lists this ribosomal RNA (441 nucleotides) under uncultured bacterium. Its description in RNAcentral is "partial 16S ribosomal RNA". It matches the Rfam family "Bacterial small subunit ribosomal RNA", at positions 338 to 795 of the family's 1533-position model. The record is from RNAcentral.